AGAGCAGUCACUUUUCUUGGGCGCAUGAAGAAUUGGGGGAGGGAUUUAAAAUGGAAUCAAUCUAGGUCUUGAAGUGGUAGGAUUUUCAGUGUAAGCUUAUUUGCAAGGAUGCAUAUGUUGAUUUUUCUAUAAGGAGUUGCCUUGGUUGCUGUUUGCAUACUAAACUCAUGUUAUGCUUCAUUUUUCUUUUUUUUAACCAGAGCACUGCUCAGCUCUGGCUUAUGGUGGUGCAGGGCUUUGAACCUGGGAUUUUGGAGCCUCAGGCAUGAGAAUCUCUUUGCAUAACCAUUAUGCUAUCUACCCCUGCCCUCUCUCUCUCUCUCUUUUUAAAGUCAACUGUACUGGAAAAUUUCUCAUUAUUUGAGGUUCCAACUGGUUUAUCAUAUUGACUUUCAUUUUUUAAAGUGUUUCAAGAAAAUGUUAACCUGUUUGAUUUUUUGCUUUAUGGAUAAGAUGUCCAUACUGUAAGAGGGUGUGUUGGUUUGGGCUUUUUAGAUGAACUACAACAGAUGAGCAAAUACUGAGAUGCACUUCAAGGUAAUUUCCUCUAGCUCAGGAUGAUAGUUAGUUGUCCAGACAAGAAUAGUGGUGAUUGGUUCUAGAAAGGAAAAGACAGUGGCUUAAAUGCGCUAAUUUGAUAAGGAAUAGAUUUCUUUUUUCUUCUGAAAAAAACAAAACAAACCUGUUUUGGUGACUUUCCUGUUGCUAACUAGUAACACUUGUGGGUUUUUUUUUUUUGUGUGUGUUAACCACAAAGGCCAGGCAGCUAAACUGAAAACUGCGUAUACUCUAGGCCCUUAAAUCUGAAAGGAAAAUGCUUCUGAUCUUGACUAAAAUUAUCCAGAGCAUUUUAGGACAAUGUAGCUAAAUGCUUUCUGGUUGGCAAGCCUGAAUAUCUUGCUCCCAGAGAUAAUCUUAGAAACAAAUGCAAGGCACACAAAUAUGUGAGAGAGACCUAGGGACUGAUCAGAAAAUGAAUCGAGCUUUAAUAUUCAUUUGUGUCCGAUUCUUCCCUUAGCUUAGAGGAGGUCAGAGGGCACCACAGCACCGUCAUAUUCACACUUUUCAGCUGGAGGUUGUGGGCAUGGAGGUAGAUUCGACUUAUUUCACAGAUGAGGAACUGGAAUCAAGAGAUAGAGGCCAGUCUUAGAGUUAGGGCUGGGCUCCCCUGGCAUUGAUUCGGCCUUGUUCCUGGGUAUAUGUGUAAUGAGGAUUAGAGAGGCUGCAGAAAGACUCCAUAAGCUGAUAUAUAUAUAUAUAUGAGAGAUCCAGAACAUCACUAUGGUAAAUAAGAUGUCAGGGACAGAACCCAGUACCUUAUGAGCUUUUUAAUAUUUAUUAAUGAUUCAUUUAUUGGAUAGAGACAGAGAGAAACUGAGAAGGAAGGGGGAGAUGGAGAGGGAGAGAAAGCAAAGAAGAGAUACGCAUGGCCCACAGACAUAUGCAGAAAUGCUCUAAUUCACUCACCACUAGAGAAAUGCAAAUUAAAGCCACAUUGGGAUACCACCUUGCACCUGUAAGAAUGACCUUCAUCAACAAAGCAGGAUAAGAUAAAUGUUGGAAAGGAUGUGGAGAGAAAGGAACACUGCUGGUGGGAAUGCAAAAUGGUACAACCAUUAUGGAAAACAGUAUGGAGAAUCCUUAAGCAAAUACAGAUGGAAAUACCUUAUGACCCAGCAAUUCCACUCCUAGGCAUUUAUCCAAAAGAGAUAAUACCCCUAAUUCGAAGGGAUAUAUGCACCCCCCAUGUUCAUAGCCACAUUAUCCACAAUAGCAAAAAUUUGGAAGCAACCAAAAUGCCCCCCCACAGAUGACUAGUUAAAAAAGUUAUGGGACAUACACUCAGUGGAAUACUACUCAGCAAUAAAAAGAUGAAUUUACAUCCUUUGGGAUAAAAUGGAGAGGGAGAGAAAGAGAGAAACUUGCAGCACUGCUUCCCUGCUCCAGAAGCUUCCCCCUGGCAGGUGGGCACUGGGGGACUUGAACCUUGGUCUUUGAUGCGGUAACAUGUUUAUUCAACCGAGUGUGCACCGUUUGGCCCCCUAAGUUUAUUUUAAUGCCACCAGAGUGAGGCUUGGUGCCUGCCCAGCUCUACUGUUCCCAGUGGCCAUUUUUACAUUUUCAUUUUACUGGUGAGAGACAGAGGUCAAAAUGAGUGAGACAGAGAGGAGAGAUACCUGGAAAACUGCUCCAUGCACAGUGAAGCUUCCCCCCACCCCAGCAGGGUGAGCUACUACCAAGCCCUUCCAUGAGGUUUUUAUUUUAUUUUACUUAGUUAUCUAUUUUUCUUUACCAGAGCACUGCUCAGCCCUGACAUAUGUUGGUAGCAAGAAUUGAACCUGGGACCUUGGGGCCUCAGGCAUUUUGUAUAAACACUAUGCUUUUCUGCCUUUUAUUUGACAGCCUCGCCACGGCAUGCCUGAGAAAAGCUCUAGCUCUCCAGUGGCCAGUCUCUCUCAGCUCAGGGGUUUAAUUUUCCCUAUUGGUCAAUCCAGCCUAUUUUCUCUCCUUUGUUCCUUUGGACUUUUUCUCCCUCUAGCUGGCCCUUUACCUAAUGAAAAUAGGGGAUUGAGAGAGUGUAACACUAUUUUACUCUAACUCUUCAAACAAGCAGACAAUUUUAAAUUCUUAUUCCUAAGGGGUAAAAAACACAAGAAGGGCAUUCAAAUAUUUUGUUACAGUUUUGCUUUCAGAGCUCUGGAUGUCCCUUGGAUUUCCUUUCUCCUCCUCCUCAUCUUCUUCCUCCACUCUUUCUCCUCUCCCUCCCCUCCUCCUUAAAAUACUUUAUUUAUUUAAUGAGAGGCAUAGAAAGAUAUGUAGAGAGAAAAACCAGAACACUGCGUAGCUGUGGCUUUUGUUGGUGCUAGGGAUUAAACCUGGGACCUCAGAACCUCAGAUAUGAAAUUUUUAUGCAAAACUGUUAUGCUGUCUCCCUUUUCAUUCACACCCAAGUGGCUUUGCUGCCCACCAUCUUGAUGGUAUCUUGUAGCCAGGCAGUGUGAGCAGUGCUGUGUAGACAGUUUCAGCUUGCUUGGCUGGGUUUCCAGAAGAGAGUAUUCAAGAAUAUCAUGGGAAUGUGGUCAGUCAUCAAAGCCAAGAAUCUUUCAUGGAUCCAGUCAACCCCCUUUGCAAAGGACCUAACUAAUUAAGAUGCUUAGAACAAGAUAGGCUGGGUGUAAACUAGAGAACCCCUUUCAUUUAAUGAAGAAUGAAUUAUAAUUAAAGGGGACUUUGAACUUAGGGAGAGACUUUGCUGAAGUGGCCUACCUACCUUCAGAGAAGCUCUCUAUAGAUGCCUUUGUCUCACAGACAUUUGUGCAAAGAUAUUAGUCAUAAAAUACAAAUAAUUUCUAAUAGUAAAAUUUGGAAAUGGAUAUAUAUGCUGUUUCAUGCUUUGAGGAAAUCAUCCCAGGUGAAGGAACUCCACAAAUGUUUGUACAGAACUGAUCUCCCUUGCCUACAUUUUCUUACAAAUUUUAGCAUCUUUAUUUCUUUGCUCACCCUAUAACCCAGUUAACUAAAUGAUUCAUGUAAUAUAUAUACCUUAGUGAGUUAUCACUUAGGAUGAAUUUGAAUUUUUUCUUGGUCACCAGGGCUUUGGGUCUGCAUGAUGUCAUAGCUCCCAGAGGUACCCCCCUAUGCUUUAAUCUGAAAUAGAAAGAAACAGAGGGAGAGGGAGGGAGAGAAAGAGAGGUGAAAAAAAGACCACUCCACUACUCAUGAAGCUUCCCCUGCACCUGACACUCUCAGCUGGUGCCAGGGACUCAGUCUUCACCACCUGCUAUGGUAUCACUCUGACACAUGAACUAUCUCCCAGCCCCUGGAUUUGAUUUUUAAGUAGAGAAAACUUGCACUGAGUUAAAUUAUAGGAAUCAAUUGCCCCAGAUACAUUUCCUGUUUUAAGUGGGAGGUGUGACCCUUGGUCAUGCAUGACAUAUUAGCUUUUCUAAGAGAGAAAGUGAAAGUGAAAUAUUCUCAUCUUUUUGUGACUUCAGAAGUGUCACAUCUGCACAAGGCACUUCGGAUUUAUCCCAGUUGCAUUUUAACUGUUUACUGGUUUAGCUUGAUCUGGGAGUAAGUGAAGGAAAAGAAAAUCAGAAUGCCCACUUGUCGUGAAACAGCAAAAAUCUUGCCUUAAAGGUUAAGCCACCUCAUAUUUUUGUUCAUUUGUUAAGACAUUUUAAAUGUACACUAUUUUCAUCAGCAUUUUUUUUUUUU
Molecule: long non-coding RNA, 4218 nt
Organism: Erinaceus europaeus (western European hedgehog)
Lineage: Eukaryota; Metazoa; Chordata; Mammalia; Eulipotyphla; Erinaceidae
Exons: 2
Source: RefSeq, a predicted model, not a curated record